This 200-nucleotide unclassified non-coding RNA is filed under the name Borrelia persica. RNAcentral's name for it is "partial 16S-23S intergenic spacer". The record is from RNAcentral. Lineage: Bacteria; Pseudomonadati; Spirochaetota; Spirochaetia; Spirochaetales; Borreliaceae.
AGUAUUGCUACGUGAGUUGUAUUCGAUUUUAAAACUGUAGUAAAAUCCAUUAAAUUUAUUAUAGUCUUUAUCCUAGAAUAAAUUGUUUUUUAUAAUUUUUGUAUAUUAUUCAUUUUUAUUUGUGUUCUUUAAGUAAGUUCGUGAUUUUAAAUAUGCGUGUUAGUGCUUUGCUUUAACAAGCAUUGAGCUUGAGCUUUGUC